RNAcentral lists this ribosomal RNA (468 nucleotides) under uncultured bacterium. RNAcentral's name for it is "partial 16S ribosomal RNA". It matches the Rfam family "Bacterial small subunit ribosomal RNA", at positions 28 to 507 of the family's 1533-position model. The record is from RNAcentral.
GACGAACGCUGGCGGCGUGCUUAACACAUGCAAGUCGAACGGAAAGGCCCUGCUUUUGUGGGGGGCUCGAGUGGCGAACGGGUGAGUAACACGUGAGUAACCUGCCCUUGACUUUGGGAUAACUUCAGGAAACUGGGGCUAAUACCGGAUAGGAGCUCCUGCGGCAUGGUGGGGGUUGGAAAGUUUCGGCGGUUGGGGAUGGACUCGCGGCUUAUCAGCUUGUUGGUGGGGUAGUGGCUUACCAAGGCUUUGACGGGUAGCCGGCCUGAGAGGGUGACCAGCGACAUUGGGACUGAGAGACGGCGCAGACUCCAACGGGAGGCAGCAGUGGGGAAUAUUGCACAAUGGGCGGAAGCCUGUUACGACAACGCCGCGUGCGGGAUGACGGCCUUCGGGUUGUAAACCGCUUUCGCCUGUGACGAAGCGUGAGUGACGGUAAUGGGUAAAGAAGCACCGGCUAACUACGUG